Molecule: long non-coding RNA, 528 nt
Organism: Eupeodes corollae
Lineage: Eukaryota; Metazoa; Arthropoda; Insecta; Diptera; Syrphidae
Exons: 2
Source: RefSeq, a predicted model, not a curated record
GUCCUGUCAGUUUCGUCGCAGCUUGUCGUCGUUUGUUGUUAUUUACUUGAGUUACAUUUUUCGUUCGCCUUCUCGUCUCCAGUAUCCUUAACGUAGAUUUUCGUCUUAAAUGUUAUUUGUUUGUAGUUUUAUCGUAUCUGUUCUUUGGUGUUCUGUCGGUUUGUCUGUUUGUUCCUUUCAGGAUAUUUGCCAUCAUCAUUCCUUUUGCUGUGGAUUGUGACAGCUUGUUGAUGUCGGGCACCGGGUGUUUCAAAAACACUGCCUAUAUCCGAGAUCGCAACAAAACACCUGGGUGGCGGAGUAGUUUAGCUCGACGCGGGACAGGUGGCAACGAUCUCGGCUUCGGACGUGGGGAAGAAACCCACCCAUAUAGCCGGGCAAUAGGGCGUAUGCCUUAUCCUUGACCUAGUCAACAACUUUAGGAAUCGCUCACGAUGUUCCCACUCCUAGACAACUGUAUCCACCGGAAUCAAAUAUCUUGCUCAUUUAUUUAGUUUUGAAACUACUGAAUAUAUUUGUUUGUCCGUU